This 429-nucleotide ribosomal RNA is filed under the name Actinomycetes bacterium. RNAcentral's name for it is "Actinobacteria bacterium partial 16S ribosomal RNA". It matches the Rfam family "Bacterial small subunit ribosomal RNA", at positions 355 to 776 of the family's 1533-position model. The record is from RNAcentral. Lineage: Bacteria; Bacillati; Actinomycetota; Actinomycetes.
UAGGGAAUCUUCCGCAAUGGGCGAAAGCCUGACGGAGCAACGCCGCGUGAGUGAUGAAGGUCUUCGGAUCGUAAAACUCUGUUAUUAGGGAAGAACAAAUGUGUAAGUAACUAUGCACGUCUUGACGGUACCUAAUCAGAAAGCCACGGCUAACUACGUGCCAGCAGCCGCGGUAAUACGUAGGUGGCAAGCGUUAUCCGGAAUUAUUGGGCGUAAAGCGCGCGUAGGCGGUUUUUUAAGUCUGAUGUGAAAGCCCACGGCUCAACCGUGGAGGGUCAUUGGAAACUGGAAAACUUGAGUGCAGAAGAGGAAAGUGGAAUUCCAUGUGUAGCGAUGAAAUGCGCAGAGAUAUGGAGGACCACCAGUGGCGAAGGCGACUUUCUGGUCUGUAACUGACGCUGAUGUGCGAAAGCGUGGGGAUCAAACAGG